This 763-nucleotide ribosomal RNA is filed under the name Arthrobacter sp. LZX05. Its description in RNAcentral is "bacterial SSU rRNA". It matches the Rfam family "Bacterial small subunit ribosomal RNA", at positions 45 to 805 of the family's 1533-position model. The record is from RNAcentral. Lineage: Bacteria; Bacillati; Actinomycetota; Actinomycetes; Micrococcales; Micrococcaceae.
UGCUUAACACAUGCAAGUCGAACGAUGAAGCCCAGCUUGCUGGGUGGAUUAGUGGCGAACGGGUGAGUAACACGUGAGUAACCUGCCCCCGACUCUGGGAUAAGCCCGGGAAACUGGGUCUAAUACCGGAUAUGACCUCGCACCGCAUGGUGCGGGGUGGAAAGAUUUAUCGGUGGGGGAUGGACUCGCGGCCUAUCAGCUUGUUGGUGAGGUAAUGGCUCACCAAGGCGACGACGGGUAGCCGGCCUGAGAGGGUGACCGGCCACACUGGGACUGAGACACGGCCCAGACUCCUACGGGAGGCAGCAGUGGGGAAUAUUGCACAAUGGGCGCAAGCCUGAUGCAGCGACGCCGCGUGAGGGAUGACGGCCUUCGGGUUGUAAACCUCUUUCAGUAGGGAAGAAGCGAAAGUGACGGUACCUGCAGAAGAAGCGCCGGCUAACUACGUGCCAGCAGCCGCGGUAAUACGUAGGGCGCAAGCGUUAUCCGGAUUUAUUGGGCGUAAAGAGCUCGUAGGCGGUUUGUCGCGUCUGCCGUGAAAGUCCGAGGCUCAACCUCGGAUCUGCGGUGGGUACGGGCAGACUANAGUGAUGUANGGGAGACUGGGAAUUCCUGGUGUACGGUUGAAAUUGCGCAGAUAUUCAGGGAGGAACACCCGAUGGCCGAAAGGCAGGUCUCUUGGGCAUUUACUGGACNCUNAAAGANCCGAAANCAUGGGGGACCGAAACAGGAUUAAAAUNCCCCUGGGUAGUCCCCCCCGUUU